Oryctolagus cuniculus (rabbit) is the source of this 1741-nucleotide non-coding RNA. NCBI's taxonomy places the organism in Eukaryota, Metazoa, Chordata, Mammalia, Lagomorpha, Leporidae. The record is from RefSeq and is a predicted model, not a curated record.
UGGGGAGUGAACUAAUGGAAGGAAGACCUCUCUCUGUCUCUACCUCUCUCUGUAACUCUGUCUUUCAAUUACAUAAAAUAGAUCUUUAAAUAAAUAAAUAAAUAAAUAAAUAACUUAUUUGCCAUUGCUUCUCAGCCUUUUGGCCAAGAUCAAGUGUGUUUAUUUAUUUAUUUGACAGAGACAGCAAGAUAGUUUCCAUCCACUGGUUCACUUUCCAAAUGCCCACAGCAGCUAAAGUUCAAAGCUGGCAACUCCAUCCAGAUCUCCCACGUGGGUGGCUGGGACCCAAUUAGUUGAGCCAUCGCAUGCUGCCUCCCAGGGUGUGCAUCAGCAGGAAGCUGGAGUUAGGAGCCCGAGCCAGAAACCAGAUCCAGGCCCUUGGAUGUGGGACGUGGGUGUCUUAACUGCUAGGCCAAAUGCCUGCCCUGUCAUGAGUUGUUUCUUAAGGAAACCUUCAGAAGGAUUUGCAGGGAUUUUCCAUGAAUGCCAGGGCCGUAAAAGGGGCUGUGGAAUGUUUGUGGGAUGGCGAGAAGCCCACGUUGCUGCCAUACUCGCCCUCUCGGAAGGGGCAGCCGUCAGAAGCCGCCGGGAAGAGCCGCGGGACUCUUGCCUAAUCCCCCAGGCUUGGAGCAAGGCUGGGCAGCCCGUUGCAAGCCCAGCGUUGCGGUGACCUCCCUGGCUGCUCGUGUGUCCUUUGUGACGCGGCCCCGCAGCCCGAUAAAUGGCUCAGGGACCUAAGUUCACGUCCUUGGAGUGGCAGACGGCCAGGGGCCGAGCCUGCCUAGAGGGGGGCUUUGGGUGUCUGGGAGUUAGCCUUGAUUGGCAGGAAGCCCAAGGAACAAAUCAACAAGUCCCCGUCACAGGCGGGACCAGCGUUCCCUUCGGAGCUCAGCUUGUGGUACCACCAGGGCCAGCGAAUCAGAAUGUAUCUGGAGCUGGGCCUUUGCGAGCUGUUUCGGGUUAGAUGAGGGCACCGCCGUGGGACUGGUGACUACAAGAAGAGGAAGUGAGACCUGGGCAGACGCCCGGCUGCUCUGUCUUCGCAUAGGAUGACGCAGCACCAAGGCCACCACCAGAUGGUGUUGGAGCCACAGAAACCAGGCUGAGCCAAGCCAACCCUCUUCCUCUCCAGCUGUCCAGCUGACAAACUCCCCCUCAUCCCCAAGGAGCCAAGCUGAGUGUUGCCUCUGAGAUGCGCCUGCCCCUGAGCUCCAGCAGCAACGUGGCACUCACCAAGCUGGGCAAGGAGCCACGGCUUCUAUCGUCCCUGCUGGUGAGAAGCCCGAGACCUGAGGAGGUUUGAUCUCAGAGCAAGGUCACAGGCGAGGGGAUCCACGGCCGUUCUUCUUUGUCUCACACCAGAAGAGUGAGGACGCUGCCCGGCUGUGCCUCCAUGUGGGGCGGGGGCGGGGCUGCUCCCCGAGUGUGUGUGGCAUGAGCAGGCCUACUCAGCGUGUGGCCCACACACCGGCACCUGCCUACGAACUGCUGGUUAGCAGUCUGCGAUGAGAAUCCCACACUCCUCGUUCAGGAGCGGGAGAAGCUGCGGAUCCGGUGACUGCCCCCAGCCAAUCAGGUGAGUCAGUCACGCAGUGGCAAGUGUGUGAGGUGACCUCCCACUGCCCUAUGCAACCCGAAAGCAUGACAGUGGCCUUGGCUCACUCCUGCCUUCCAAACCUUGCACUUAUUUCUCUGGUGGCCAGCUCUAACCCAGGACCCUAUGGGACAUUGGCAUUCUGGU